Molecule: ribosomal RNA, 497 nt
Filed under: uncultured bacterium
Lineage: Bacteria
Description: partial 16S ribosomal RNA
Rfam family: Bacterial small subunit ribosomal RNA
Source: RNAcentral
GAUGAACGCUGGCGGCGUGCCUAAUACAUGCAAGUAGAACGCUGAAGGCAGGAGCUUGCUCUUUCCGGAUGAGUUGCGAACGGGUGCGUAACGCGUAGGUAACCUGCCUGGUAGCGGGGGAUAACUAUUGGAAACGAUAGCUAAUACCGCAUAACAGUAGAUGUUGCAUGAUAUCUACUUAAAAGGUGCAAUUGCACCACUACCAGAUGGACCUGCGUUGUAUUAGCUAGUUGGUGAGGUAACGGCUCACAAAGGCGACGAUACAUAGCCGACCUGAGAGGCGGAUAGGCAAAGCUGGGAGUGGGACAGGGCCAACAACCCUAGGGGAGGGAGCAGGAGGGGAUCUCCGGGAGAGGAAGGAAGGGGGAACGAUGAACGCCGGGCGAGUGAAGGAGGUAGUCAGAUCGGAAAGCUCAGGUGUAAGAGAGGAACGAAUGGGAGAGUGGAAAGUGAAGACAGUGACGGUACCUGACGAGAAAGCGACGGCUAACUACGUG